AGAGUUUGAUCCUGGCUCAGAUUGAACGCUGGCGGCAUGCCUUACACAUGCAAGUCGAACGGCAGCACGAGAGCUUGCUCUUGGUGGCGAGUGGCGAACGGGUGAGUAAUAUAUCGGAACGUACCCUAGAGUGGGGGAUAACGUAGCGAAAGUUACGCUAAUACCGCAUACGAUCUACGGAUGAAAGUGGGGGAUCGCAAGACCUCAUGCUCAUGGAGCGGCCGAUAUCUGAUUAGCUAGUUGGUGGGGUAAAAGCUCACCAAGGCGACGAUCAGUAGCUGGUCUGAGAGGACGACCAGCCACACUGGAACUGAGACACGGUCCAGACUCCUACGGGAGGCAGCAGUGGGGAAUUUUGGACAAUGGGCGAAAGCCUGAUUCAGCAAUGCCGCGUGAGUGAAGAAGGCCUUCGGGUUGUAAAGCUCUUUUGUCAGGGAAGAAACGGUGGACUCUAAUACAGAUCACUAAUGACGGUACCUGAAGAAUAAGCACCGGCUAACUACGUGCCAGCAGCCGCGGUAAUACGUAGGGUGCAAGCGUUAAUCGGAAUUACUGGGCGUAAAGCGUGCGCAGGCGGUUGUGCAAGACAGAUGUGAAAUCCCCGGGCUCAACCUGGGAAUUGCAUUUGCGACUGCACGGCUAGAGUGUGUCAGAGGGGGGUAGAAUUCCACGUGUAGCAGUGAAAUGCGUAGAGAUGUGGAGGAAUACCGAUGGCGAAGGCAGCCCCCUGGGAUAACACUGACGCUCAUGCACGAAAGCGUGGGGAGCAAACAGGAUUAGAUACCCUGGUAGUCCACGCCCUAAACGAUGUCUACUGGUUGUCGGGUCUUAAUUGACUUGGUAACGCAGCUAACGCGUGAAGUAGACCGCCUGGGGAGUACGGUCGCAAGAUUAAAACUCAAAGGAAUUGACGGGGACCCGCACAAGCGGUGGAUGAUGUGGAUUAAUUCGAUGCAACGCGAAAAACCUUACCUACCCUUGACAUGUCUGGAAUCCUUGAGAGAUCAGGGAGUGCUCGAAAGAGAAUCAGAACACAGGUGCUGCAUGGCUGUCGUCAGCUCGUGUCGUGAGAUGUUGGGUUAAGUCCCGCAACGAGCGCAACCCUUGUCAUUAGUUGCUACGAAAGGGCACUCUAAUGAGACUGCCGGUGACAAACCGGAGGAAGGUGAGGAUGACGUCAAGUCCUCAUGGCCCUUAUGGGUAGGGCUUCACACGUCAUACAAUGGUACAUACAGAGGGCCGCCAACCCGCGAGGGGGAGCUAAUCCCAGAAAGUGUAUCGUAGUCCGGAUUGUAGUCUGCAACUCGACUACAUGAAGUUGGAAUCGCUAGUAAUCGCGGAUCAGCAUGUCGCGGUGAAUACGUUCCCGGGUCUUGUACACCCCGCCCGUCACACCAUGGGAGCGGGUUUCACCAGAAGUGGGUAGCCUAACCGCAAGGAGGGCGCUCACCACGGUGGGAUUCGUGACUGGGGUGAAGUCGUAACAAGGUA
This 1491-nucleotide ribosomal RNA is filed under the name metagenome. RNAcentral describes it as "bacterial SSU rRNA". It matches the Rfam family "Bacterial small subunit ribosomal RNA". The record is from RNAcentral.